Molecule: ribosomal RNA, 516 nt
Filed under: uncultured bacterium
Lineage: Bacteria
Description: bacterial SSU rRNA
Rfam family: Bacterial small subunit ribosomal RNA
Source: RNAcentral
AGGGUUCGAUUCUGGCUCAGGACGAACGCUGGCGGCGUGCUUAACACAUGCAAGUCGAACGGGGAUUAGUUGAUUGAGAGCUUCGGCAGGAAAUCGAUUAAUUCGAGUGGCGGACGGGUGAGUAACGCGUGAGCAACCUGUCCCAGACAGGGGGAUAACACUUGGAAACAGGUGCUAAUACCGCAUAAGACCACGGGAUCACAUGGUUCUGGGGUAAAAGGAGCAAUCCGGUUUGGGGUGGGCUCGCGUCCGAUUAGCCAGUUGGCGGGGUAACGGCCCACCAAAGCGACGAUCGGUAGCCGACCUGAGAGGGUGAACGGCCACAUUGGAACUGAGAGACGGUCCAAACUCCUACGGGAGGCAGCAGUGGGGAAUAUUGGGCAAUGGGCGAAAGCCUGACCCAGCAACGCCGCGUGAGUGAAGAAGGCCUUCGGGUUGUAAAGCUCUGUUAUAGUUGACGAAGGAAGUGACGGUAGGCUAUAAGGAAGCCCCGGCUAACUACGUGCCAGCCGCGGC